Long non-coding RNA from Mus musculus (house mouse), 825 nucleotides. RefSeq annotates it as RIKEN cDNA 4930447J18 gene. The record is from RefSeq and is marked validated. The transcript is spliced from 4 exons. NCBI's taxonomy places the organism in Eukaryota, Metazoa, Chordata, Mammalia, Rodentia, Muridae.
GAAUGCCAACAAUCACUGUUCAGUUGCUGUGGUUUUAUACUCCUUAGAUGAUCUGAAAAUCCCAUAGGCCUUCCAGGGCUACCCUGACACUUCCUCCGGGGAACAAGCUUUCGGGACCAUCUGAGGCUGACCUUUAGUUGGCCAAAGGGCACUAUUUCCUGUUCCUGGCCAGAGCAGUAGGGCCAAAAGAAUCAUGGUUUCCUGCUUCCUGAUGAAAGGACCAUGUGAAGUAUGGAGGGAACAGGUUCUGAUGAUGAAACCUGGGAGUCUGCACUGGAUAUGGGGUGGGUACCCAGAGAAGUACAUUCAGAGAUGGAGAACUGAUCUCAGACCAGGGUGUGAUAGAGACCAAGUCAUGGGUGUGAUGAGGACCACUAAAUGGGUCUUAAAGUGUGGGUACACAGUCCAAGACAUGGUGGAAUAAAGUGGACUUUCAGUGUGAGUGGGGCUAGACCUUCCUCUAUCCCUUUACCCAGCAUAGCACUUAUUAAAAGUGUAACUAAUAUGAGUUAAAUUCCAUGGAGAAUCCUAUAAGUCCACUGUCUUUAGGCUGUACCAUGUUAGAUGGAGCCAAGAGCAUCAGACCUCUUCCACUGAGACACAAAAGGACAAUAGACAGAACUGAAGAGUUCCAUGUUAAGCAGACAAUCUUACAGACAGAGGAGAAUGAGACUCUGAGAAGGAAGCUCAUCCACUGAGGCAUUCUCUCCUGAGUUCCCUCACAUGCCUGGUUACUCAGUCAUAGCAGCUCCCCAGGCACUAAGCGCUGUGUGUGUUGUCUUGUGAUGUUUUGAACAAACACGUGAAUAAAUCAUUUAAGUAGGG